UUCUGCUACUUCUGCGAUUUCUGUGACUUCUGCUACUUCUGCGAUUUCUGUGAUUCCUGCGAUUUCUGCGACUUACCACCGUAUGAGAAAGUUACAUCUGUCAACACAGAAAAUUGCAUCUCAACAAACCUGUCUUUGGCAAGUACCUGAACUACAUUUCAGUCACUCAGUAAAGUGAUAACUCAAAAUAUCAUUGUCAACAGAUCUGAAGAAAUUGCCACUGCGUCUUUAGACCGUUUUCGUCAGACGAGAGACACAGUUCUGACUCUGAUUACUGGUUGCUGUACGUAUCUAUCCACAUCAAGGCUGUUUUUGAGAGAGACUCGUGAAGAUUCAAGACAGUUCUUAGAGGAUUUGCAGUUUAAAAGUGAAAUAAUUGUGAAAUAAGUGUGUGAAUGAUUAAACUGUGUUUUAUUGAAGUUGUUGUGCGAUUUUAAAGGAAUAAUAAAUGUCAA
Long non-coding RNA from Schistocerca cancellata (South American locust), 455 nucleotides. RefSeq lists it as uncharacterized. The transcript has 3 exons. NCBI's taxonomy places the organism in Eukaryota, Metazoa, Arthropoda, Insecta, Orthoptera, Acrididae. The record is from RefSeq and is a predicted model, not a curated record.